AGCAUGGGAGACAGCUGGGGACCUGGUGCUUGAAGAGGAGGAGAAGCCGGCCAUGUGUCUAUCUGGGGGCACUCCAGGCAGUAGACACCACUUGUGCAAAGGCCCUGAGCCCAGGGGAAGACGGCCUGGAGGGGAAGAUGGGCAGGGGAAGGAAGCUGCGGACAGGCCCCUUCCUGUUCUGGCACAAGGAAACUGGAAGGAGCCUGGCCCAGGUGUGACCUUUGGACCGCAGGAGAACAGCUGAUGCCAGGAGCCCUGAGGGGGGCAGCCAAGGCAGGAGGACUCCGGGGUACCCCUCAACAGCCCCCUGGCACAUGGCUGUGGAAGGUGGCAGCUGAUCCCGGGGCCGGGGGCCAGAGGAAACCGGCUGGAAACUACCUCUGGACAGUGUCCACUCCUGAGCCUAAGCCUCUCCGGGAAUGGGGCCCUGGGGGAGGGCUGGCCAGGGAGGCUUAUCUCUGCAAAUGAAGCUGAAGGUUAGGCUUCCCGGGGAGGAGAGGGGCCUGGGGUUGCCUGCAGCUGGUGGGGCGGAUUUUGAGCUGGAAUAGGCUUGCCGGCCCAGGGAAAGGAACACGCAAAGGGCGGAGGCCUGGAAUGACGAGGCUGUCCCACUAACUCAUCUCCCUGACUCAGGCUGGGCCCUGUUGGCCUCUGCAGCCUUCCUGCCCCUGUCACUCCUCAGGAAGGCCUGCCCUGACUACCCUCGAAGAGAUUCCCUGGUCACCUUCAGCCACACCGCCACUUUGCUCUCAACUGACAUCCUUUUUCAUCUCCCCUACCUUCAGCUCGGUAACCAUCCGCCUCCCUGCCCGCGGGGUGAGCUGAGUGGGAGGGGCUCGCGAUCCAUAAUAUUUUACUAUAUUAUUUAUUUAUUUGGCUGCCCCGCGCGGC
Delphinapterus leucas (beluga whale) is the source of this 891-nucleotide non-coding RNA. The record is from RefSeq and is a predicted model, not a curated record. NCBI's taxonomy places the organism in Eukaryota, Metazoa, Chordata, Mammalia, Artiodactyla, Monodontidae.